CGAUUAUCCUGUAAUACGCUCAAGUUAACAUAAAAUUAAUGGUGGACUGAAUUGGAAAUCUGGGUUUAUCUCAGGCACAAGUGCCCUACAAAUCCAUGCAGAUGCUUGCAAGUUUUCAAAAUGGCUAUCGAAUUUGACACAGAGUUUGUGGAGAUUGACGUCGAGGUUAGUCCCCAACAUAUAAUACAUGCUUAAAAGCUAGAAAAAUUAUUAGGAAAAGCCUCCCUGCACAGGAUAUGUACAGGUGUACACACAUGAGAGUGGACCCCACACAUCCAUGUGUGUGCACCUGUUCAGGCCUGUGCAAAGGCGUGUCACAACUCUAUUAUUACUUAUCUUGGCUUAGAAAAUUAGUUUAACGCACAACCAUACGUGCUCGUAAAAUAUGUCUUAUAUUUCAGAUGGCAACUGAAGCAGUUCUUAACGAAUUUAUGAGAAAAAGAUCAAACACAAAAAUAAUUGUCUCAGGCCAUUUGAAUGGAGAAACUCCUACCACUGAAAAUCUCGGCAACUUGAUUAUAGACCUACAAUCUACUGGAGCUGAUGUUAUUAAACUUGUGGUUGAUGUGUCUUUUAUUACAGAUGUAGCACCAAUAUUCCACAUGCUCACCCAUUGCCAGGUACUAAGUAUAUAUGCUCGACUCGAGCAAAUUUAGAUACACAUCUCUCUUUUUUUUCAUUGUUGUCAAGUCGAGAUAAAUUUGUCUUCUGAUCUCUAUAGUUCAAGUUUUUAAAUGAUAGUAUGGUGACAAAUUUUUUAUUUUUUUUAUCAAAAUUCUGACACAUCGACAACUUUCGUAAAAGGUUAAUUCUAUGCAAGAGGGGACACGUUUAUUUUUUUAUGUAAAAUUUUUGAUCAUGCAUGCAGGUGCCACUAAUUGCAAGAGCAGUGGGAGAUAGAGGUCUUAUAAGCCAACUAUUGGGCCCAAAAUAUGGUGCCUUCUUAGUAUGUGGAUCUAUAGGAGACAAAUUCAUAUCUGGAUUGCCACCUUUAGGCAGCAUCAAACAAGUCUACAAGUUAGAAUAUAUGAAUUCAGACACACAAAUUUUUGGUUUAGUCUCAAAUCCUGUAGGUCAUAGCAAAGGUCCACUUCUGCAUAAUCCUGCCUUUAGACAUACAGGAUAUAAUGGAAUUUAUGUUCCUCUCUUAGUCGAUAAUGUCGAGGAAUUCUUCAAAGUUUACUCGUGCAACGACUUCACAGGCUUCAGGUACUCUCCAUUUUCUGAAACAGUUUAGCAUAUUGAUGAGCAAAUUAGUAACAUCAAUAUUAAGAUAGAUUUGAAGUGGAUGCAAAGAUUCUUAAGUAUGGCUCGUUUGUCCAAGAUUCUAGCUUUAGUUCUUCUUGAUAAUGGGCAUUCAAACUUCUAUGAAAUUAUCGUAUAAAAAAAGAAAAUCUUUGACAUGAAUUCUGAAUUCAUAAUCAAUGCAAAAUACCAAAUAAAAUGUAUUACUCUUGUCCUAUUGUCGGGCAUACUUGUGACUGGAUUUCUUUCUAAUGCAAAGACAUCUACUUUAGAGAUAUGUAUUAGUCUUCUUUGAUCACAUUUUGGAUAUAUCUAAUGUGUGAAUUUCUACGUCUUCGGUAACUUAUAGUGUUGGGAUACCACACAAGGAGGCAGUGUUAAAAUUCUGUGAUGAAGUUCAUCCCCUUGCUCAGGUAUGAA
RNAcentral lists this long non-coding RNA (1665 nucleotides) under Olea europaea subsp. europaea. Lineage: Eukaryota; Viridiplantae; Streptophyta; Magnoliopsida; Lamiales; Oleaceae. The record is from RNAcentral.